Molecule: ribosomal RNA, 493 nt
Filed under: uncultured bacterium
Lineage: Bacteria
Description: bacterial SSU rRNA
Rfam family: Bacterial small subunit ribosomal RNA
Source: RNAcentral
AACAAACGCUGGCGGCGUGUCUUAAGCAUGCAAGUUGAGCGGCAAGGAGGAGAGAUCCUCCCUAGAGCGGCGGACUGGUGAGUAACGCGUGGGUAAUCUAUCGUAGGCAUGGGGAUAGUCACUAGAAAUAGUGGGUAAUACCGAAUACGUUCCAUGAGGGGAGUACUUAUGGAAGAAAGGGUGCUACGGCACUGGCCUUAGGUGAGCUCGCGUCCCAUUAGCUAGUUGGUGAGGUAAAGGCCCACCAAGGCGAUGAUGGGUAGCCGGCCUGAGAGGGUGUACGGCCACACUGGGACUGAGAUACGGCCCAGACUCCUACGGGAGGCAGCAGCUAAGAAUAUUCCGCAAUGGACGGAAGUCUGACGGAGCGACGCCGCGUGAACGAUGAAUCCCUUCGGGGUGUAAAGUUCUUUUAUAUGUGAGCAGUGCUUCUUAUAUUAACAGUAUGGGGAGAGAGAUAUUAGCAUAUGAAUAAGCAACGGCUAACUCCGUG